GUUGUUGCCAUGGUAAUCCUGCUCAGUAGGAGAGGAACCGCAGGUUCAGACAUUUGGUGUAUGUGCUUGGCUGAGGAGCCAAGCGGGGAAGCUACCAUCUGUGGGAUUAUGACUGAACGCCUCUACGUCAGAAUCCCGCCCAGGUGGAACAAU
RNAcentral lists this non-coding RNA (153 nucleotides) under Chlorocebus sabaeus (green monkey). Its description in RNAcentral is "Eukaryotic large subunit ribosomal RNA". It matches the Rfam family "Eukaryotic large subunit ribosomal RNA", at positions 3007 to 3161 of the family's 3401-position model. The record is from Rfam by way of RNAcentral. Lineage: Eukaryota; Metazoa; Chordata; Mammalia; Primates; Cercopithecidae.